GAUGAACGCUGGCGGCGUGCCUAAUACAUGCAAGUCGAGCGAACGGACGAGAAUCUUGCUUCUCUGAUGUUAGCGGCGGACGGGUGAGUAACACGAGGAUAACCUACCUAUAAGACUGGGAUAACUUCGGGAAACCGUAGCUAAUACCGGAUAAUAUUUUGAACCGCAUGGUUCAAAAGUGAAAGACGGUCUUGCUGUCACUUAUAGAUGGAUCCGCGCUGCAUUAGCUAGUUGGUAAGGUAACGGCUUACCAAGGCAACGAUGCAUAGCCGACCUGAGAGGGUGAUCGGCCACACUGGAACUGAGACACGGUCCAGACUCCUACGGGAGGCAGCAGUAGGGAAUCUUCCGCAAUGGGCGAAAGCCUGGCGGAGCAACGCCGCGUGAGUGAUGAAGGUCUUCGGAUCGUAAAACUCUGUUAUUAGGGAAGAACAUAUGUGUAAGUAACUGUGCACAUCUUGACGGUACCUAAUCAGAAAGCCACGGCUAACUACGUG
This 497-nucleotide ribosomal RNA is filed under the name uncultured bacterium. RNAcentral describes it as "partial 16S ribosomal RNA". It matches the Rfam family "Bacterial small subunit ribosomal RNA", at positions 28 to 507 of the family's 1533-position model. The record is from RNAcentral.